UACGGAGGAUGCGAGCGUUAUCCGGAUUUAUUGGGUUUAAAGGGUGCGUAGGCGGAUUUUUAAGUCAGCGGUAAAAUGUCCGGGCUCAACCCGGGCCGGCCGUUGAAACUGGGGAUCUUGAGUGGGCGAGAAGUAUGCGGAAUGCGUGGUGUAGCGGUGAAAUGCAUAGAUAUAACUUAGAACACCGAUAGCGAAGGCAGCUUACCAGACUGAGUCUGACGCUGAUGCACGAGAGCAUGGGUAGCGAACAGG
RNAcentral lists this ribosomal RNA (252 nucleotides) under uncultured Bacteroidales bacterium. RNAcentral's name for it is "partial 16S ribosomal RNA". It matches the Rfam family "Bacterial small subunit ribosomal RNA", at positions 524 to 776 of the family's 1533-position model. The record is from RNAcentral. Lineage: Bacteria; Pseudomonadati; Bacteroidota; Bacteroidia; Bacteroidales.